Molecule: ribosomal RNA, 495 nt
Filed under: uncultured bacterium
Lineage: Bacteria
Description: partial 16S ribosomal RNA
Rfam family: Bacterial small subunit ribosomal RNA
Source: RNAcentral
GACGAACGCUGGCGGCGUGCCUAAUACAUGCAAGUAGAACGCUGAAGGAGGAGCUUGCUCUUCUGGAUGAGUUGCGAACGGGUGAGUAACGCGUAGGUAACCUGCCUGGUAGCGGGGGAUAACUAUUGGAAACGAUAGCUAAUACCGCAUAACAGUAGAUGUUGCAUGACAUUUACUUAAAAGGUGCAAUUGCAUCACUACCAGAUGGACCUGCGUUGUAUUAGCUAGUUGGUGGGGUAACGGCUCACCAAGGCGACGAUACAUAGCCGACCUGGGAGGGUGAUCGGCCGCACUGGGACUGAGACACGGCCCAGACUCCUACGGGAGGCAGCAGUAGGGAAUCUUCGGCAAUGGACGGAAGUCUGACCGAGCAACGCCGCGGGAGUGAAGAAGGGUUUCGGAUCGUAAAGCUCUGUUGUAAGAGAAGAACGAGUGUGAGAGUGGAAAGUUCACACUGUGACGGUAUCUGACCAGAAAGGGACGGCUAACUACGUG